AUUGAACGCUGGCGGCAGGCUUAACACAUGCAAGUCGAGCGGGGUGAUGGUGCUUGCACUAUCACUUAGCGGCGGACGGGUGAGUAAUGCUUAGGAAUCUGCCUAUUAGUGGGGGACAACGUCUCGAAAGGGAUGCUAAUACCGCAUACGUCCUACGGGAGGAAGCAGGGGAUCACUUGUGACCUUGCGCUAAUAGAUGAGCCUAAGUCGGAUUAGCUAGUUGGUGGGGUAAAGGCCUACCAAGGCGACGAUCUGUAGCGGGUCUGAGAGGAUGAUCCGCCACACUGGGACUGAGACACGGCCCAGACUCCUAUGGGAGGCAGCAGUGGGGAAUAUUGGACAAUGGGGGGAACCCUGAUCCAGCCAUGCCGCGUGUGUGAAGAAGGCCUUAUGGUUGUAAAGCACUUUAAGCGAGGAGGAGGCUCUUUUGGUUAAUACCCAAGAUGAGCGGACGUUACUCGCAGAAUAAGCACCGGCUAACUCUGUGCCAGCCGCCGCCGUAA
This 503-nucleotide ribosomal RNA is filed under the name uncultured bacterium. RNAcentral describes it as "partial 16S ribosomal RNA". It matches the Rfam family "Bacterial small subunit ribosomal RNA", at positions 30 to 523 of the family's 1533-position model. The record is from RNAcentral.